AUAAUUAACAAAGGUAUCAAACCAACAAAGGUAUCCUAAUUAACAAAGCUAUCCUAAUUAAAAAAGCUAUCCUAAUUAACAAAGGUAUCCUAAUUAACAAAGCUAUCCUAAUUAACAAAGCUAUCCUAAUUAACAAAGGUAUCAUAAUUAACAAAGGUAUCAAACCAACAAAGCUAUCCUAAUUAACAAAGCUAUCCUAAUUAACAAAGCUAUCCUAAUUAUCAAAGGUAUCCUAAUUAACAAAGGUAUCCUAAUUAACAAAGCUAUCCUAAUUAACAAAGGUAUCCUAAUUAACAAAGGUAUCCUAAUUAACAAAGCUAUCCUAAUUAACAAAGGUAUCCUAAUUAACAAAGCUAUCCUAAUUAACAAAGCUAUCCUAAUUAUCAAAGGUAUCCUAAUUAACAAAGGUUUCAUAAUUAACAAAGGUUUCCUAAUUAACAAAGGUAUCCUAAUUAACAAAUGUAUCAUAAUUAACAAAGGUAUCAUAAUUAAC
Molecule: long non-coding RNA, 493 nt
Organism: Oncorhynchus keta (chum salmon)
Lineage: Eukaryota; Metazoa; Chordata; Actinopteri; Salmoniformes; Salmonidae
Exons: 4
Source: RefSeq, a predicted model, not a curated record